AACGUAGGGGACAAGCGUUAUCCGGAUUUACUGGGCGUAAAGCGCCCGUAGGCGGCCUUUCAAGUUGGAUGUGAAAGCUCCCGGCUUAACUGGGAGAGGUCAUUCAAAACUGGGAGGCUAGAGGAUGGAAGAGGAGAGCGGAAUUCCCGGUGUAGUGGUGGAAUGCGUAGAGAUCGGGAGGAACACCAGUGGCGAAAGCGGCUCUCUGGUCCGUACCUGACGCUGAGGGGCGAAAGCGUGGGGAGCGAACGGGAUUAGAAACCCCAGUAGUCC
This 273-nucleotide ribosomal RNA is filed under the name uncultured bacterium. RNAcentral describes it as "partial 16S ribosomal RNA". It matches the Rfam family "Bacterial small subunit ribosomal RNA", at positions 524 to 796 of the family's 1533-position model. The record is from RNAcentral.